This 54-nucleotide transfer RNA is filed under the name Acanthocheilonema viteae. RNAcentral's name for it is "tRNA-Tyr". Lineage: Eukaryota; Metazoa; Nematoda; Chromadorea; Rhabditida; Onchocercidae. The record is from RNAcentral.
AAAGUUUUAGUUUAUAUAGAAUGAAGAAUUGUAAAUUCUUAGGAUCUUACUUUG